RNAcentral lists this ribosomal RNA (447 nucleotides) under uncultured bacterium. Its description in RNAcentral is "bacterial SSU rRNA". It matches the Rfam family "Bacterial small subunit ribosomal RNA", at positions 330 to 794 of the family's 1533-position model. The record is from RNAcentral.
ACCAGACUCCUACGGGAGGCAGCAGUGGGGAAUAUUGCACAAUGGGGGAAACCCUGAUGCAGCGACGCCGCGUGAGCGAAGAAGUACCUCGGUAUGUAAAGCUCUAUCAGCAGGGAAGAAGAUGACGGUACCUGACCAAGAAGCUCCGGCUAAAUACGUGCCAGCAGCCGCGGUAAUACGUAGGGGGCGAGCGUUAUCCGGAAUUACUGGGUGUAAAGGGAGCGUAGACGGCGAGGUAAGCCUGAAGUGGAAGCCCGCGGCCCAACCGCGGAACUGCUUUGGGAACUGUUUUGCUGGAGUAUGGGAGGGGUAAGCGGAAUUCCUGGUGUAGCGGUGAAAUGCGUAGAUAUCAGGAGGAACACCGGUGGCGAAGGCGGCUUACUGGACCAUAACUGACGUUGAGGCUCGAAAGCGUGGGGAGCGAACAGGAUUAGAUACCCGUGUAGA